GGGAGGGGUGCUAGCGUUGUUCGGAAUUACUGGGCGUAAAGCGCUCGUAGGCGGCCUGUGAAGUCUGGGUGUGAAAGCCCUCGGCUCAACCGAGGAAGUGCGCUGGAAACCCAGCAGGCUUGAGUACGGUAGGGGAUCGUGGAAUUCCUGGUGUAGCGGUGAAGUGCGUAGAUAUCAGGAAGAACACCGGUGGCGAAGGCGACGAUCUAAGCCGAAACUGACGCUUAGGAGCGAAAGCGCGGGGAGCAAACAGGAUUAGAUACCCUGGUAGUCCACGCUGUAAACGAUGGGUACUAGGUGUUGGCCCUUUAUAGGGUCGGUGCCGAAGCUAACGCAUUAAGUACCCCGCCUGGGAAGUACGGUCGCAAAGGCUG
This 374-nucleotide ribosomal RNA is filed under the name uncultured organism. Its description in RNAcentral is "partial 16S ribosomal RNA". It matches the Rfam family "Bacterial small subunit ribosomal RNA", at positions 525 to 896 of the family's 1533-position model. The record is from RNAcentral.